UUAGCUGAAAAAGGCUAGUGCCGCCCAAGCUACCCAUCUGUAGGAAUUAUGGCCUGAACGCCUUUAAGUCAGAAUUCCAUGCUGGAAAUAGACGAUAAUCACCUUUCCCGAUGUGCCGCGAAAUAGCGAUAGGUGUCUUCUGGACACCCAACAUCAUACAAUUGCAACGCACUCCGCUGCCUGUCAAGUACUGGCGGUGGAGAGUAGGGCUGAUUUGU
This 218-nucleotide ribosomal RNA is filed under the name Phytophthora infestans T30-4. RNAcentral describes it as "28S ribosomal RNA". The record is from RNAcentral. Lineage: Eukaryota; Oomycota; Peronosporomycetes; Peronosporales; Peronosporaceae.